Non-coding RNA from Cricetulus griseus (Chinese hamster), 823 nucleotides. Lineage: Eukaryota; Metazoa; Chordata; Mammalia; Rodentia; Cricetidae. The record is from RefSeq and is a predicted model, not a curated record.
GAUUGGGCAUCGCCAUUUGGAUCAGAUUCACAUUUGUUCCAGGUGGUUCCUUCUGAGUCACAUGCUGAAAGUAGCUGCCCGGACAUGUUAUCCAUGGUGGACUGCCGAAGCACAGAGGCCAGAUGAAGUCACACAGGGUUUUAGCCCUUGCAGCAAUCCUGCAUCGGCCUACUAAGUGCAAGGAUUACAAGUGUGAGCCUCCACACCUGACAUAAUUCUUGUUUUCCAACAAUUGAAAUCAGUUCCAAGUUUGAGGCUUCCUGACCAGAGCAACAUGAAGUCCUCCUGCACAGAGAGCUUCUGCAGUCUAGGAGUGUUGUGUUUGGGGAAAGUGUUUACAGGUGUUCUCACUUUGUAAUUAUUAGUUAAGCAGUACAUUAUGAUUGGGGAAAUUGUAAGGGGUUCAUAUGUUUAAAGGUUUUAAAAAUAAAAUGGGAAAACCAAAAGAAAUCCAAAAAUGAACCAACUCUUAAGAGAAUGGGGAGAGGUUAACAUAAAUCCAUCACCGGGUCAGCUGUGAGGAGAAUUUGCAGCCGUUAUGGGACUGUGAAGACUGGUCUGACCAAAAUUAGAAUGUCACAGUAAAGAAGUAGUGAUGGAAGUGUGGGUGUAUUAGCAUCUGUAACAGGAUAAGCAAUUUAGAAGCACUCAACACUUUUUAUGAGAAGCAAAUAAUAACUAAAAUUGAAAAAUCAACAAUUAGUUCUCUAUGCAUGUUGUUUUGAUAUUUUUAUUGUUAACAUAGUAGAACUAUGUACUUGUAACAGGUAUUGCUCUGGUUUAAACAUAUAUUAAAUUUUAAUAAAUGGAUAUUUAUUUUGAA